Molecule: non-coding RNA, 2934 nt
Organism: Ictidomys tridecemlineatus (thirteen-lined ground squirrel)
Lineage: Eukaryota; Metazoa; Chordata; Mammalia; Rodentia; Sciuridae
Source: RefSeq, a predicted model, not a curated record
ACCGCCGCUGCGCAGCCUGGAGCGCGAGCGACUCCGCCACCGUGACUCGAGCCAGCAGCCCAAAGCCCGCCGGGGAUCUGGUUACGGCGGAGGCCGGAGGGGCAGGCGUGGAGACGCCAACAGGGAGGGAGGCGACAGGGACACAAACAGGUAUCCUUGCCCAGGUAUGAGGCGGCGCGCGUGAGCGUCUGGAGGGAGGACUCCCAGGCCCGGUUCCAGCAUCCCCGGGAGAACGCCGAGUCCCGGUCCGCCGCCUACUCUUCCACUCUGGAUGGCCACCGGCCAAAUGGAAAGCUACGCGCAGACACCAUCCAGGAUCCCAAGGUGACAGUGAUCUUUGAAGUUCUAGACCGGUCAAUGACUGGCCAUCAGGGAUGCCAGUCACCAUGACAGACCUUUGACACUCACUGUCCCAUCGCCUGUCUUCAGAGAUGAAAUGAGAUCCAUUUUACAGUUCGUCUCAUGGAAUCUCUUCAAUGGCUCCUGGAUCACUCUACGGUGAUGGCCCUUACAGAGAUGGGGAGCAUCCAGACCACAGAACUCGUCUGUAGUGGAUUUGAAUCCAGAUAGACGGAACACAGCUGAGGAAUCUCAUCCAGGCUACAGCAUCACACAGAGUCGUCAUGUCCCUCGAGGCUGCGACAGUUUCUCCUAUUUCUGUUUUUCAUGACCUUUACAGUUUUGAAGGCCAUGGAGACCCGUGCUCUUUUAUGCAGGAGCUGCGCCUGCCCUGGGAACUUCCUGUGCAAAGGUGCAGGUCAAGACUGCCCAGUUGCCAUGGUGACGGCCUGCUUAAAGGAGGAUCUGUGCUAGGCACGGGACUAUCAGUCUUGACCUUGAGUCCAGAUUCAGCUGCCAGGGAUGGAGAAUUAUGAGUGCAAAUUGAUCAUCAUAACUGGCCACUAGUCUCUGACCCUCAAUCCUGCAUGCUUUGCAGAAACUUUCACAGAAAACCUUUUUGAUGAUGAAACCUAAUAAUAAACCUGCUGAGCUAGCUCUGGGUCAUUGUUCCUCCAACAGAGGACAGUGUCUCCCCCUGGCCCUAGCUUUUUCUCUAUGUGGGUGUCUGUCUUUUCUCAAUCCCCCACUACGCCUCACAGGUUUCUGAAUUAACAGCCGUGCUGAUUGCGGGGACAGUGUCACAGCAGUAGCUGGGAACUCGAGGCACAGAUGGGCCAAGGCUGACAAGAACAGCUUCUACAGCCUCCUGAGCAGCAGCAGCACCAUCCGCCAUUCCCUGGGCACCAGACUCAUCUCCUGUGGGAGAAGCUGGGCAGCACAGCUUGACCCUGGGCCUCCUGAUUCAAAGUUCAGCUCUGCCAGGUACUGGCUGGAUGACCUUGGCUGGAUGACCUUGGCUGGAUGACCUUGACCUUGAGCCUUGUGGAACCUCUCCAUAACACUGUUUUAUAUUUUUUGCUGGGGGGUGGGUGGUGGUACUGGGGAUUGAACUCAGGGGUAUUUUAUUUAGAGACAGGAUCUCACUGAGCUGCUUAGGGCCUUGCUUUUGCUGAGGCUGGCUUUGAACUUGCGGCCCUCAGCCCCCCAGCCCCAGGCAUUACAGCCCCUGUAUGUGUUUGGACUCCUGGCCCAGGGCACCUUCUGUUCACCCUUAACCUUUGCAGUGUCUUUCCAUUUUCUGGGCCCACGCCAAGACUGGGGAGACGUCUCUCUUCCCCAGGGUGGGCCAUGACAUUGAAAUGUCCUGCACCUGCCCUUGGCUUCCGUGGGGAGCAGCAGCCACCCACAGGGAGCCUGACCUCUGGCCCAAGGGUGGGCUCUGAUGGGCCUACACUGACCCUUCUCCACGCUUUGCAGGGACCCCGUGCACAUUGCAGGCUCAGCCCGUGCUUCUGGCCUUUCCAGAGAACAAAGGGGGCUUCACCCAAGCACCGGCCUGACCUGUCCCUCUCCUGCAGCGCGCCCACCCUCCCAGCUCCCCCUAUUUCCCUCCCUGAGGUGGCCCCAGUCCACCAGGGAGCCCUUGUGGGCAAGGACCAUGCGACUUCAUGCUUGACCCCCAGUCCCCACACAGCACUGGCACCGGGCAGCGGGUGCCCAGGGGAUAGUGGGCAUUCGGGGUGGGAGCGAAUGAAGGUGGGGGAACGCCGACACAGACCAGCAAAAAGCGAGAUGGGUUUUGAGCCCGUGUCCCGACCUGUCCCCACUGCCUGCACGUGCCGCCUGAGAAAUCCCUUCUUGCCCCGGAGCCUGAGUUCCUUAUGUGUAAGGAUGAGGUCAUCACAGGUAAUCUGGGGUUCAGAGGGCCAAGCGGGUGUCAGCCAUCCUCUCGUGAACCUCCCGACUUACAGAAAAGGAGCAGAGGUCUGGAGCCAUGCAGGGCCUCCCACAGCAGGCGGGCGGAGGCUGCGACCAGACCAGCACUGCUGGGCUUCCAGCCCUGGGUGCACGUGGGCAGGCGCCCUGAGCCUGUGCGCCGUCUCUGAGAGCCAGUGCAUUAAAUGCAGGUGCCCCUCCCGCAGAGACUGAUCCAGGAGGUCUGAAUGGCCCCCGGAAGUGACUGUUUAAAGGGCUCCCUCCGACUCCCCACCUAAUGAUACUGAUGCGGGAACUCCCUGGCCGCAUUUUCAGACAGGCUGUGAAACCCCCAGCUGAGAGCCCAGACUUAGAGGGUGAAGGACAAUAAUAUGAAUAUAUUUCUAAUAACAGAGCAGAUACAGAUACACCCCGCCAUCUGCCAGUCACUCUUCUGAACCCUUUACGUGUUUCAUUCAUUAAAUUCUCAUGAUGAGACUUUUAGGUAGUGACUGCUACUGUUCUGAUUUUCCAGGUGAGGAAAUGAGGCAUAGAAAGUUUACUCUAUGCUGGGGCGCGGUGCCGCAUACCUGUAAUUCCAGUGGCUUGGGAGACUGAGGCAGGAGGAUCGCAGUUUCAAAGCCAGCCUCAGCAAUUAGUGAGGCACUAAGCAACUCA